AUCAAUCGAUUUUAUCAAAUAAAGUUUUUAUACCGAAAACGUUUGAUUUUAUUCUUAAUUGGGUUUGGUUCUACAUCGAGUCAGGUAGACUCGAUUAAAUUAUUUAUACGUUGUGAUAAAUUAUACGGUUGCGUUUAUAUCUGUUUGAUGGUUUUUUAUUUUAUGUUAUCUUUAGUGCCAGAAGGUUCUGAAGGUUUAAACAUCUUUAAUAUAUUGUUUUUAUUAAAGGGUUAGAGUUACCCUAUAAUUGUAAGUGUGUUACAACUUUUACAUGUAGUUCUUUAAGAUUUUAUUAUAUUUACCAUUUAUUUUUAAUUUCUAGCUUAUUCUUAUGAUUGUAUUAGUAAUUUUAACAUGGAUAAUGUUUCUCAUUAAUCGCCCGUCUGUUUAUUAAAAACAUUUCCACCCACGAAUAUUGUGUGGUAGUGCCUGCUCUAUGCUUUUGUAAAUGGCCGCAGUAUCUUGACUGUGCGAAGGUAGCAUAAUUAAUUGCCCUAUAAUUGAGGGCUUGUUUGAAUGGUUUGACGAGGUGAUACGUAACAAUACCCAUAUAAUUGAAGUUAAUUUGGGGGGCACAGAAUCCCCCUAGGUUAAUUAGACGGAAAGACCCCGGGAUCUUUUAUUUUUGUCUGGGGCAGAUUAUAAUAUUUCAUUUAUUAAUUAGACCCUUGUGGUUCAUUGGUGUAAGUUACCCCGGGGAUAACAGUGUAAUAGUUUAUAAGAGGCCAUAUCGAAUAAACUGCUUGCCACCUCGAUGUUGACUUAGGUUUAAACUCAGGCGCAGUAGUCUGGGUUGAUGGUCUGUU
Molecule: ribosomal RNA, 806 nt
Filed under: Cephalobothrium sp. n. 1 AW-2016
Lineage: Eukaryota; Metazoa; Platyhelminthes; Cestoda; Lecanicephalidea; Lecanicephalidae
Description: partial 16S ribosomal RNA
Rfam family: Bacterial large subunit ribosomal RNA (bases 569-806)
Source: RNAcentral